GAGUUUGAUCGUGGCUCAGAUUGAACGCUGGCGGCAGGCCUAACACAUGCAAGUCGAGCGGAUGACGGGAGCUUGCUCCUUGAUUCAGCGGCGGACGGGUGAGUAAUGCCUAGGAAUCUGCCUGGUAGUGGGGGACAACGUUUCGAAAGGAACGCUAAUACCGCAUACGUCCUACGGGAGAAAGCAGGGGACCUUCGGGCCUUGCGCUAUCAGAUGAGCCUAGGUCGGAUUAGCUAGUUGGUGGGGUAAUGGCUCACCAAGGCGACGAUCCGUAACUGGUCUGAGAGGAUGAUCAGUCACACUGGAACUGAGACACGGUCCAGACUCCUACGGGAGGCAGCAGUGGGGAAUAUUGGACAAUGGGCGAAAGCCUGAUCCAGCCAUGCCGCGUGUGUGAAGAAGGUCUUCGGAUUGUAAAGCACUUUAAGUUGGGAGGAAGGGCAGUAAGUUAAUACCUUGCUGUUUUGACGUUACCGACAGAAUAAGCACCGGCUAACUCUGUGCCAGCAGCCG
RNAcentral lists this ribosomal RNA (513 nucleotides) under bacterium enrichment culture clone OZDCA118. RNAcentral describes it as "bacterial SSU rRNA". It matches the Rfam family "Bacterial small subunit ribosomal RNA", at positions 9 to 517 of the family's 1533-position model. The record is from RNAcentral. RNAcentral also lists the same sequence under 11 other names.